UCCCUGAUGGUUCAAUGGUUAAGAGUCUGCGCUUCCAACUGCAGGGGGCACAGGUUCGAUCCCUGGUCAGGGAG
Molecule: transfer RNA, 74 nt
Filed under: Bos taurus (domestic cattle)
Lineage: Eukaryota; Metazoa; Chordata; Mammalia; Artiodactyla; Bovidae
Also listed under: 2 other names
Rfam family: tRNA
About the family: Transfer RNA (tRNA) molecules are approximately 80 nucleotides in length. Their secondary structure includes four short double-helical elements and three loops (D, anti-codon, and T loops).
Source: Rfam by way of RNAcentral